GUUCAGUUAGUAGAACAUGGUCCUCUGUAGUUCAGUUAGUAGAGCAUGGUCCUCUGUAGUUCAGUUAGUAGAACAUGGCUCCAGGUCCACUGUAGUUCAGUUAGUAGAACAUGGCUCCAGGUCCUCUGUUGUUCAGUUAGUAGAGCAUGGCUCCAGGUCCUCUGUAGUUCAGUUAGUAGAACAUGGCUCCAGGUCCUCUGUAGUUCAGUUAGUAGAACAUGGCUCCAGGUCCUCUCUAGUUCAGUUAGUAGAGAAUGGCUCCAGGUCCUCUGUAGUUCAGUUAGUAGAACAUGGUCCUCUGUAGCUCAGUUAGUAGAGCAUGGCUCCAGGUCCUCUGUAGUUCAGUUAGUAGAACAUGGCUCCAGGUCCUCUGUAGUUCAGUUAGUAGAGCAUGGCUGCAGGUCCUCUGUAGUUCAGUUAGUAGAACAUGGCUCCAGGUCCUCUGUAGUUCAGUUAGUAGAGCAUGGCUCCAGGUCCUCUGUAGUUCAGUUAGUAGAACAUGGCUCCAGGUCCUCUGUAGUUCAGUUAGUAGAGCAUGGUCCUCUGUAGUUCAGUUAGUAGAACAUGGCUCCAGGUCCUCUGUAUUUCAGUUAGUAGAACAUGGCUCCAGGUCCUCUGUAGUUCAGUUAGUAGAACAUGGUCCUCUGUAGUUCAGUUAGUAGAACAUGGCUCCAGGUCCUCUGUAUUUCAGUUAGUAGAGCAUGGCUCCAGGUCCUCUGUAGUUCAGUCAGUAGAACAUGGCUCCAGGUCCUCUGUAGUUCAGUUAGUAGAGCAUGGUCCUCUGUAGUUCAGUUAGUAGAGCAUGGCUCCAGGUCCUCUGUAGUUCAGUCAGUAGAACAUGGCUCCAGGUCCUCUGUAGUUCAGUUAGUAGAACAUGGUCCUCUGUAGUUCAGUUAGUAGAGCAUGGCUCCAGGUCCUCUGUAGUUCAGUUAGUAGAACAUGGUCCUCUGUAGUUCAGUUAGUAGAACAUGGUCCUCUGUAGUUCAGUUAGUAGAACAUGGCUCCAGGUCCUCUGUAGUUCAGUUAGUAGAACAUGGCUGCAGGUCCUCUGUAGUUCAGUUAGUAGAACAUGGCUCCAGGUCCUCUGUAGUUCAGUUAGUAGAGCAUGGUCCUCUGUAGUUCAGUUAGUAGAGCAUGGCUCCAGGUCCUCUGUAGCUCAGUUGGUAGAGCAUGACUGUGCUUUGGAUAAAAUUGUCUGGCAUAUAGUAUGUGUUACUCUGGUUCCCAUCACCAGGGGGCAGUGUGAGUUUUGGUUCCCAUCAAAAUCAAAUAAUCACAUUUUAUUGGUCACAUACACAUGGAUAGCAGAUGUUAAUGCGUGUGUAGCGAAAUGCUUGUGCAUCUAGUUCUGACAGUGCAGUAAUAUCUAACAAGUAAUCUAACAAAUUCACAACUAACUACCUAAUACACACACAAAUGUAAAGCGAUGGAAUAAGAAUUUGUACAUAUAAAUAUAUGGAUGAGCGAUGGCCAUGCAGCAUAGGCAAGAUGCAGUAGAUGGUAUAGAGUACAAUAUAUACAUAUAAGAUGAGUGAUGUAAGAUAUGUAAAAAUUAAAGUGGCAUUAUUUAAAGUGACUAGUGAUACCUUUAUUAAAUCCAUUUAUUAAAGUGACCAGUGAUUUGGGUCUGUAUGUUUGCAGCAGCCUCUCUAUGUUAGUGAUGGCUGUUUAACAGUCUGAUGGCCUUGAGAUAGAAGCUGUUUUUCAGUCUCUCUGUACCAGCUUUGAUGCACCUGUACUGACCUCGCCAUCUGGAUGGUAGCGGUGUGAACAGGCAGUGGCUCAGGUGGUUGUUGUCCUUUUUGGCCUUUCUGUGACAUCGGGUGCUGUAGGUGUCCUGGAGGGCAGGUAGUUUGCCCCUGAUGAUGCGUUGUGCAGACCGGUUGAUGGCGGUGCAGUUGCCUAUCACCUUACCAGGUGAUACAGCUCGACAGGAUGCUCUUAAUUGUGCAUCUGUAAAAGUUUGUGAGGGUUUUAGGUGACAAGCCAAAUUUCUUCAGCCUCCUGAGGUUGAAGUGGCGCUGUUGCGCCUUCUUCACUACACUGUAUAUGUGGGUGGACCAUUUCAGUUUGUCCGUGAUGUGUAUGCCGAGGAACUUGAAGCUUUCCGCCUUCUCCACUGCGGUCCCAUUGAUGUGGAUAGGGGGCUGCUCCCUCUGCUGUUUCCUGAAGUCAACAAUAAUCUCCUUUGUUUUGUUGACGUUGAGUGAGAGGUUAUUUUCCUGACACAACACUCCGAGGGCCCUCACCUCCUCCCUGUAGGCCAUCUCGUCGUUGUUGGUAAUCAAGCCCACUACUGUUGUGUCAUCUGCAAACUUGAUGAUUGAGUUGGAGGCGUUUAUGGCCACACAGUCUUGGGUGGACAGGGAGUACAGGAGAGGGCUGAGCACGAACCCUUGUGGGGCCACAG
RNAcentral lists this long non-coding RNA (2410 nucleotides) under Salmo salar (Atlantic salmon). RNAcentral's name for it is "lncRNA (ENSSSAG00000084428.1, ENSSSAG00000108115.1)". The record is from RNAcentral. Lineage: Eukaryota; Metazoa; Chordata; Actinopteri; Salmoniformes; Salmonidae.